This 404-nucleotide ribosomal RNA is filed under the name Nematoda environmental sample. RNAcentral's name for it is "SSU rRNA". It matches the Rfam family "Eukaryotic small subunit ribosomal RNA", at positions 29 to 436 of the family's 1831-position model. The record is from RNAcentral. Lineage: Eukaryota; Metazoa; Nematoda.
UGCUUGUCUCAAAGAUUAAGCCAUGCAUGUCUAAGCAUAAACCGAAUAUGGUAAAGCCGCGAAUGGCUCAUUACAACAGCCAUAGUUUAUUGGAUCUUAGAGUCCUACUUGGAUACCUGUGGUAAUUCUAGAGCUAAUACACGCAAUCAAGCCUCAACCUUACGGGCGGGGCGCAUUUAUUAGAACAAAACCAAUUGGCUUCGGCCAUAGAUUGGUGAAUCUGAAUAACUACGCUGAUCGCACGGGCUUGUCCCGGCGACGUAUCCUUCAAGUGUCUGCCUUAUCAACUUCUCGAUGGUAGUUUAUAUGACUACCAUGGUUGUAACGGGUAACGGAGAAUAAGGGUUCGACUCCGGAGAGGGAGCCUGAGAAACGGCUACCACAUCCRAGGAAGGCAGCAGGCA